AACGAACGCUGGCGGCAGGCCUAACACAUGCAAGUCGAACGAGAAGUCACCUUCGGGUGACGGAAAGUGGCGCACGGGUGAGUAACGCGUGGGAACCUACCCAGGGGUACGGAACAACUCAGGGAAACUUGAGCUAAUGCCGUAUACGCCUUCCGAGGGAAAGAUUUAUCGCCCCUGGACGGGCCCGCGUCGGAUUAGCUAGUUGGUGAGGUAAUGGCUCACCAAGGCUACGAUCCGUAGCUGGUCUGAGAGGAUGAUCAGCCACACUGGAACUGAGACACGGUCCAG
Molecule: ribosomal RNA, 288 nt
Filed under: uncultured bacterium
Lineage: Bacteria
Description: partial 16S ribosomal RNA
Rfam family: Bacterial small subunit ribosomal RNA
Source: RNAcentral